This 520-nucleotide ribosomal RNA is filed under the name uncultured Staphylococcus sp. RNAcentral describes it as "bacterial SSU rRNA". It matches the Rfam family "Bacterial small subunit ribosomal RNA", at positions 8 to 507 of the family's 1533-position model. Lineage: Bacteria; Bacillati; Bacillota; Bacilli; Caryophanales; Staphylococcaceae. The record is from RNAcentral.
AGAGUUUUGAUCCUGGCUCAGGAUGAACGCUGGCGGCGUGCCUAAUACAUGCAAGUCGAGCGAACAGAUAAGGAGCUUGCUCCUUUGAAGUUAGCGGCGGACGGGUGAGUAACACGUGGGUAACCUACCUAUAAGACUGGGAUAACUUCGGGAAACCGGAGCUAAUACCGGAUAACAUUUAGAACCGCAUGGUUCUAAAGUGAAAGAUGGUUUUUGCUAUCACUUAUAGAUGGACCCGCGCCGUAUUAGCUAGUUGGUAAGGUAACGGCUUACCAAGGCGACGAUACGUAGCCGACCUGAGAGGGGUGAUCGGCCACACUGGAACUGAGACACGGUCCAGACUCCUACGGGAGGCAGCAGUAGGGAAUCUUCCGCAAUGGGCGAAAGCCUGACGGAGCAACGCCGCGUGAGUGAUGAAGGGUUUCGGCUCGUAAAACUCUGUUAUUAGGGAAGAACAAAUGUGUAAGUCACUGUGCACAUCUUGACGGUACCUAAUCAGAAAGCCACGGCUAACUACGUG